UGGGGAAUAUUGGGGCAAUGGGGCGAAAGCCUGACCCAGCAACGCCGCGUGAGGGAAGAAGGCCUUCGGGUUGUAAACCUCUGUCCUUAGUGACGAAGGAAGUGACGGUAGCUAAGGAGGAAGCCCCGGCUAACUACGUGCCAGCAGCCGCGGUAAUACGUAGGGGGCGAGCGUUGUCCGGAAUUACUGGGCGUAAAGGGUGCGUAGGCGGUACUUUAAGUUGGAUGUGAAAUCCCCGGGCUUAACCUGGGGCCUGCAUCCAAUACUGGAGAACUAGAGUGCAGGAGAGGGAAGCGGAAUUCCUAGUGUAGCGGUGAAAUGCAUAGAUAUCGCGCAGAACUCCGAUUGCGAAGGCAGCUUUCCAUGUCGUGACUGACGCUGAGGCACGAAAGCGUGGGGAUCGAACAGGAUUAGAUACCCUGGUAGU
Molecule: ribosomal RNA, 427 nt
Filed under: uncultured Garciella sp.
Lineage: Bacteria; Bacillati; Bacillota; Clostridia; Eubacteriales; Eubacteriaceae
Description: bacterial SSU rRNA
Rfam family: Bacterial small subunit ribosomal RNA
Source: RNAcentral